CUUUUAGCAUGAUCCAAGUAACGAUACGUAAAUGUAAUGUUAUUCCAUAAAUGGUUCUACUCUUAGCAGUUAAGGAUUUAUCUUUUCAAGUCUUUCCAUCCUUCCAAUAGUUUUGUGGAAGUAUAAUUGUGUGUUGUAAACAUAUUAUGCUCCAGUUAUCAAGAAGAGGUAAUUAAGAAAAUGAAGGAGAUUUUCUUUUAUAGGUUGCAGGUAUUAAUGUAUAUGAUUAGCAUUUAUGAGCCAUCACAAAUGGAAGCUAAGAAAUUUUUAAGUAUAGGAUAUGGUUCUGGACAAUUUUGGCAAUUUAAAACAUGAAUUAUUAACAAACAAAGGAAGUGCAAUAUAUUGAUACUUGUUUUAUCUUCGUAGAAUGCCUUUAUUCCUCUUAGAUAAAUGGAGAAGUAUGUCAAGAUAAUGUACGAAUGUGUGUAGUAUUGUAACUAAGGUAAUAGGAAUAACAAAUAGAUCUUUGCACAUAAACAUCAAAUAACCCUUUGUAAACUAAAUUGUUUUGAUUAACCUGUUAAGCUAUUAUGUCACAUAGCAAUUGUGUCUCUGUGUCCAUAUGUGUGUGUGUUUCGGGAAACAUGACCACAACUUUAUGACCCAGUGAAUAUUGAAAUAAUAUUUUUUGAAUUAUCGGAAGUAAUUUGUAUAGCUUUUAAGAUAAUUCAGAUAAGCACGUUGGAUUUCUGAUAUUCAAGCAUGUCUAAGUAUGUUCCUAAGUCUCUAUUAAGGUAUUUAAUAAAGAUGGUAAUGUUCAUAAUAUAGUAAUACAUGCAUAUGCAUUUACCACCGAGCUACGGCCGGUUGGGCAGUUACAUAUUUACUAUCGUGCUACGGCCGGUCGGGCAGUUAACACCAGUUGGGCAGUUAUGUAUCAUUAUUUACCACCGGUUGGGCAAUCACAUAUUUACUUUCGAGCUAUGGCCGGUCGGGCAGUCAUAUAUUUACUAUCGUGCUACGGCCUGUCGGGCAGUUACCACUGAUCAGUUGGGCAGUUAACAUCACGAAAAUGAGGUGUAGAUAGGCGAGGUGAGGAUCAUCUAUUGUAGGCUGCCUCCAGAUAUCAGCUUUUGGUUGGUGAGCUCCACAUCAUCCUAGAGUAUUGCCGAGUCAGGUUCUAUAUAUGUUACUUUGUUUUAUAAGGAUGUCAAGGACCCUGUCCCGACUUAUAUGUUAUGGUCAUGUUUUCUUAGAGGUUUUGAAGAAAGUGCCCUGUGUAUAGCUUUAGGUAUGACAUGUCAACGGUCUCGUCGGCCCCUAUGUAUCUAUAUAAAUCAUUUUGAAUUAGUUACGUGAGUUAAGUUCUAAUAUUGUUAAUUACAUAUAGAUGUGGCCUAUCAUGGCCCAUGACGAGAUUUAUAGAAAAAAGGGAAUAAGGUACGUGGUGCUCGGCUAAGUAGACACCGGAUGCCAGUCGUGGCCCUCUGAUAUGGGUCAUGAUAUGGUCCUUCAUGGACCCUAUUUGGACUGAGGUCAGCCGUUGAGUAGGUCCGUUGAGGUCGUCCUCGUCGGCUCUUACCUCAUCACAGUAGGCAUUGUGUAUCUUGUCCCAAGUGGUCAGAGGUAUUUCAUGAGGCGGCUUAGCAACUUUUUGGUCGCCCUUGACCCACUUAUUCUUAGCCCAUUUUGGAAAGCGGCUACCGCCAUCCUUUCAUAUACAUUUGGAAGGGUCAUUCUUAUACGGUUGAAUCGGGCAAGGAAGCCUUGGAGUCCCUCGCCAGGCGAUUGCUUAAUGGCAAAUAUGUCGUUCACCCUCGCCUGGGCUUUCUUAGCCCCGGCAUGGGCAGUGACGAACUUGUCUGCCAUCUCCUUGAAUGUUUUUAUGGAAUGCGCAUGUAGCUAUGAGUACCAAGUCAGCGCUCCCCUAGUUAGGGUUUCGCUAAAUUUCUUCAGCAAUAUGGACGACACUUGUUCUUUGGCGAGGUCAUUGCCUUUCACUGCAGUGACAUAGUGGGUCACAUGAUCCUCAGGGUCCAUCGUGACGUCGCAUAUUUUCAGGUACAAAUGCAUUUUGAAGGUUUUGGGUAUUGCGUGUGGUGGAACUUCGUUGUUGUAUGGUUGCUCAACAAACCGACCGACGUCCCUUUUUGGAAGAAGUUUUGGGGCGCCUGGUAUUUUGUCUACCCUUUCCUGAUGCUCUUUCAUUUGGUUACGGAGCAUUUUAUUCUCGUUCUACAUCUCUUCCAUUUUCCUCAUAUUGGUUGUGAGGGUGUUGUUACCAGCACCAAUAACAUUGUGAGUAAUACCUAUUACGGAGGGGGCAUGUUGCUCGUCAGCUGGUGGUGCAACGCAAACCCCUGCCUCUUCCCGGUUCGGCCAUUAAGAGGGCUCGACAAGGAAACUGGUUAACGUGUUUGUCAACCACGCCUCGAGCAAUUUUUUUACUGUCGCUGGUGCCUCUUCUGUUGUAGAUGUAGAGGCCCAUUUACCGUGCGAGGUCGUGAUGCUACCAUGAGGAGGAGGCGAGCUGUUUUGCCUGAGAGAGGUGUUUGGUGUCACCUCCUUGCCCUCUGUUUCAUUUGCUUUGUUGAUGGUAUGGAGGAGGUUGGUGGUGAGGUCAGCUAUCGCCUCCCUUUUUUCCUCUUUGUUGCCUUUCAUGUUAGAUUUGUGCACAAAAGGAAGUAUAGGGUUUUAGCAUUGUUUUUUUUUCGAUCUAGAAGAAACUAAAAUUUUAACUAGAAAAUGCCCACAUACGGCACCAAAUUAUUUUACCAAAAAGUACGAAACAUUUUCUUAAGUUAAUUAAAUAAGAGGAUGAUGGGUAAAUCCUAGUUAAACAUAAUAAAUCCUAGAUUUGAAAUAUAUUUAUACAAAUAACGUAGAAUUGCAUUUAAACUAAUUUAAUACAAUGGGUAUUAAAUGAUACUGCUACAAGUGAGUAGGAGGACAAUGAUAAGAAAUAAAUAUAUUAAAUGGCAAUAAAUGUAAAUUGAGAGAAUGAUUCACCCAAAUAUUGAAUGAGGUGGAUGAUUCUUCUCUCUGACAAUGAUGCAAGACAAAUUAACGUGGGAAUAUAGAGAGCUUUCUCGGAUUUGAUGCGAGAAAGUGUGGGAUAAACAACAAAUUGAAUUUUUAUGGAAAGGCAAUUCUUGUAAUUUACUUCAGAGUCAACUUUUCAUGAGAGUUCUUAUCAUAUAGAAUAAUACAUAUCCCUUUUUUUUUCUACCCUUUUCUUUAUAUGGGAUAUAUCCAUUAUCUAACAUAAAGUACAAGUGCAGAGAAUAUUCAACUAAAUAUUCUCCUAAAAUAUCCUGCUACGAAACUAGCUGUUAUGACCGACCAGAUUAUUCGACCUCGACCUCGGUUACUUAGCUCGCCAAUAAGUUCCUUCCAUCUCGAGUACGACCUCGGUCUAAUCGGCUCUUAGCAAUCUACCUUUGAGCAAGAUUCCCUUGGUUAGAUUUUGAUCCAUACACUAUUUUUGUUAUAUUUCUUCAUUGUAUCAUUUUCAUUAUUUUUCAUUUUCAUAAUGUCAUAUAUAUCUGUUCGGUUUUCUUUUUUAUUUCAGUAGGGUCUUGACCUGACCUCAUAAUUAUUCUACCGAGGAUAGGCUUGAUACUUACUGGUUACUACUGUUGUUUACUCAUGCUAUGCCUUCUUCACAUCUUUUUGUGCAGAUCUAGGUAUCUCUUACCAGCCUAGACACCAGUGAGUCGAGCUCGGAUUUGGAGACUUCAAGGUAUACUUGUCGGAGUCCGCAGAACUUGGAGUCAUCCUCUAUAUAGAUCUUUCUUCUUUUAUUAGAUAUUGUUAUAUUUGGAUGUUCAGUAUACUCUUGUAGAGCUUGUGACUUGGUAUCACCGGAUUUUGGGAGUUUUGUAUUGUUGAGUUGUGAAGUCCUUUUUAUGAUAGUUGGUGGUUAAUUUGAAAA
This is a non-coding RNA of Nicotiana tabacum (common tobacco), 3877 nucleotides long. Lineage: Eukaryota; Viridiplantae; Streptophyta; Magnoliopsida; Solanales; Solanaceae. The record is from RefSeq and is a predicted model, not a curated record.